AAGGAAUAUUGGACAAUGGGCGGAAGCCUGAUCCAGCCAUCCCGCGUGCAGGAUGAAGGCCCUCCGGGUCGUAAACUGCUUUAGACUGGGAAGAAACCACUUUUCGUGAGAAGUGUUGACGGUACCAGUAGAAUAAGCACCGGCUAACUCCGUGCCAGCAGCCGCGGUAAUACGGAGGGUGCAAGCGUUAUCCGGAAUCACUGGGUUUAAAGGGUGCGUAGGCGGCUUGGUAAGUCAGGGGUGAAAGCUUCGCGCUUAACGCGAGAACUGCCUUUGAUACUGCCGAGCUUGAAAGAGGUUGAGGUUAGCGGAACGUGACAUGUAGCGGUGAAAUGCAUAGAUAUGUCACAGAACACCAAUUGCGAAGGCAGCUGACUGGACCUACUUUGACGCUGAGGCACGAAAGCGUGGGGAGCGAAC
This 420-nucleotide ribosomal RNA is filed under the name uncultured bacterium. RNAcentral's name for it is "bacterial SSU rRNA". It matches the Rfam family "Bacterial small subunit ribosomal RNA", at positions 356 to 773 of the family's 1533-position model. The record is from RNAcentral.